RNAcentral lists this ribosomal RNA (253 nucleotides) under Heterosigma akashiwo. Its description in RNAcentral is "partial Eukaryotic small subunit ribosomal RNA". It matches the Rfam family "Eukaryotic small subunit ribosomal RNA", at positions 735 to 987 of the family's 1831-position model. The record is from RNAcentral. Lineage: Eukaryota; Raphidophyceae; Chattonellales; Chattonellaceae.
UGUUGUCGCCAGCAGGUUUACUUUGAAUAAAUUAGAGUGUUCAAAGCAGGCCCGAGCCGCCUGGAUACCGCAGCUAGGAAUAAUGGAAUAGGACCGCGGUUCUAUUUUGUUGGUUUUCGGAACUGAGGCCAUGAUUAAGAGGGACGGCCGGGGGCAUUCGUAUUGCGCCGCUAGAGGUGAAAUUCUUGGACCGGCGCAAGACGGACCAGAGCGAAAGCAUUUGCCAAGAAUGUUUUCAUUAAUCAAGAACGAA